RNAcentral lists this ribosomal RNA (292 nucleotides) under uncultured bacterium. RNAcentral's name for it is "partial 16S ribosomal RNA". It matches the Rfam family "Bacterial small subunit ribosomal RNA", at positions 505 to 796 of the family's 1533-position model. The record is from RNAcentral.
GUGUCAGCAGCCGCGGUAAGACAGAGGGUGCAAACGUUGUUCGGAAUUACUGGGCGUAAAGCGUGUGUAGGCGGCCUCGCAAGUCGGAUGUGAAAGCCCCGGGCUCAACCCGGGAAGUGCACUCGAUACUGCUUGGCUAGAGUCUCGGAGAGGUUGGUGGAAUUCUCGGUGUAGAGGUGAAAUUCGUAGAUAUCGAGAGGAACACCGGUGGCGAAGGCGGCCAACUGGACGAAGACUGACGCUGAGACACGAAAGCGUGGGGAGCAAACAGGAUUAGAAACCCUUGUAGUCC